Molecule: ribosomal RNA, 866 nt
Filed under: Camallanus sp. 1 EOP-2020
Lineage: Eukaryota; Metazoa; Nematoda; Chromadorea; Rhabditida; Camallanidae
Description: SSU rRNA
Rfam family: Eukaryotic small subunit ribosomal RNA
Source: RNAcentral
AUAAUAUACUUGAUGUUGAUUUUCCACGUGGAUAACUGUGGUAAUUCUAGAGCUAAUACAUGCACCAAAGCUCUGAUUUUUUGACGAGCGCAUCUAUUAGACCAAAAACCAAUCGAGAUUAUUCGUGCAUUCGUGCGCGAACUUCUCGUAACUUUGGUGACUCUGAAUAGCUUAGCUGAUCGCAUGGUCUCGCACCGGCGACAUAUCUAUCAAGUGUCUGCCUUAUCAACUUUCGAUGGUAGUUUAUAUGCCUACCAUGGUUGUAACGGGUAACGGAGAAUAAGGGUUCGACUCCGGAGAGGGAGCCUGAGAAACGGCUACCACAUCCAAGGAAGGCAGCAGGCGCGCAAAUUACCCACUCUCAGCACGAGGAGGUAGUGACGAAAAAUAACGAGACCGUUCUCUUCGAGGCCGGUUAUCGGAAUGAGUACAACUUAAAGCCGUUAAUAAGGAUCUAUGAGAGGGCAAGUCUGGUGCCAGCAGCCGCGGUAAUUCCAGCUCUCAAAGUGUAUAUCGUCAUUGCUGCGGUUAAAAAGCUCGUAGUUGGAUUUAAGCUCGAUGACUUGGUCCGUCCAUGGGAUGAGAACUGAGCUCAUCGGCUAAUUUUGCUGGUUUUGUUUAGGUAGCCUUAAUCGGUUGCCUAGGCUGACUAGCGAGUUUACUUUGAAAAAAUUAGAGUGCUCAACGCGGGCUUAAUGCCUGAAUAGUCGUGCAUGGAAUAAUGGAAUAGGAUCUCGGUUCUAUUUUGUUGGUUUUCUGAUCUGAGAUAAUGGUUAAGAGGGACAGACGGGGGCAUUCGUAUCGCUGCGUGAGAGGUGAAAUUCUUGGACCGUAGCGAGACGCCCGACUGCGAAAGCAUUUGCCAA